Molecule: ribosomal RNA, 268 nt
Filed under: uncultured Oscillospiraceae bacterium
Lineage: Bacteria; Bacillati; Bacillota; Clostridia; Eubacteriales; Oscillospiraceae
Description: partial 16S ribosomal RNA
Rfam family: Bacterial small subunit ribosomal RNA
Source: RNAcentral
UUAGUUUACUAUUGGAGCGGUUAGUGGCGGACUGGUGAGUAACACGUAAGCAACCUGCCUAUCAGAGGGGAACAACAGUUAGAAAUGACUGCUAAUACCGCAUAUGCCUAAGUACCACAUGGUACAAUAGGGAAAGGAGUAAUCCGCUGAUAGAUGGGCUUGCGUCUGAUUAGCUAGUUGGUGGGGUAACGGCCUACCAAGGCGACGAUCAGUAGCUGAACUGAGAGGUUGAACGGCCACAUUGGGACUGAGAUACGGCCCAGACUCC